GAUGAACGCUAGCGGGAGGCUUAAUACAUGCAAGUCGAACGGUAACAGGUCGAACCUAGUUUGAUGCUGACGAGUGGCGCACGGGUGAGUAACGCGUACGCGACCUACCUAUAGCUGGGGGAUAGCCCUGGGAAACUGGGAAUAAUACCCCAUAAUAUCAUAAUGCUACAUGGUAUAAUGAUUAAAGUGUUAGCGGCUAUAGAUGGGCGUGCGUGCUAUUAGGUAGUUGGUGAGGUAACGGCUCACCAAGCCGACGAUAGCUAGGGGGCGUGAGAGCGUGAUCCCCCACACGGGUACUGAGACACGGACCCGACUCCUACGGGAGGCAGCAGUAAGGAAUAUUGGACAAUGGGGGCAACCCUGAUCCAGCCAUCCCGCGUGCAGGAUGACGGCCCUACGGGUUGUAAACUGCUUUUACCAGGGAAGAAUGGCCUUCAUUUAUGGAGGUAUGACGGUACCUGGGGAAUAAGCACCGGCUAACUCCG
RNAcentral lists this ribosomal RNA (485 nucleotides) under uncultured Saprospiraceae bacterium. RNAcentral describes it as "bacterial SSU rRNA". It matches the Rfam family "Bacterial small subunit ribosomal RNA", at positions 28 to 505 of the family's 1533-position model. The record is from RNAcentral. Lineage: Bacteria; Pseudomonadati; Bacteroidota; Saprospiria; Saprospirales; Saprospiraceae.